RNAcentral lists this ribosomal RNA (254 nucleotides) under uncultured bacterium. RNAcentral describes it as "partial 16S ribosomal RNA". It matches the Rfam family "Bacterial small subunit ribosomal RNA", at positions 524 to 776 of the family's 1533-position model. The record is from RNAcentral.
UACGUAGGGAGCAAGCGUUGUCCGGAUUUAUUGGGCGUAAAGAGCUCGUAGGCGGCUUAGUAAGUCAGGUGUGAAACCUCCAGGCUCAACCUGGAGACGCCACGUGAGACUGCCCUGACUCGAGUCCGGUAGGGGAGCGUGGAAUUCCCGGUGUAGCGGUGAAAUGCGCAGAGAUCGGGAGGAACACCCGUAGCGAAGGCGGCGCUCUGGGCCGGUACUGACGCUGAGGAGCGAAAGCGUGGGGAGCAAACAGG